CUUGAGCUAAUCUCUGUAGGAAGGUUGGUAAUUACAGUCUCCAAAAGCUCUCUCUGUUCAUUCUCCGAUGGUAUCGAAGACGACGAUGUCUUCCUACUUGAGCGUGAAAUUCCUGGAAUGUACUUCUUCGCAUAAUACAUUAGACAGCUCUCGAUAACUUCUGAACACAAAUCUCUACUUUUCAUUGCAGAAAUCAAACGCUUGAACAAAGGCAAGCUCAAGUGCCCUAGCUCUUCGAACCAUGAAUCCAUACCACCUCCUCUGUUGGCACCUUUACGGCGAGUACUUGCUUCAACUCCAUUUCCAGGGCCG
This 312-nucleotide unclassified non-coding RNA is filed under the name Hevea brasiliensis (rubber tree). The record is from RNAcentral. Lineage: Eukaryota; Viridiplantae; Streptophyta; Magnoliopsida; Malpighiales; Euphorbiaceae.